RNAcentral lists this ribosomal RNA (203 nucleotides) under uncultured bacterium. RNAcentral describes it as "partial 16S ribosomal RNA". It matches the Rfam family "Bacterial small subunit ribosomal RNA", at positions 338 to 555 of the family's 1533-position model. The record is from RNAcentral.
CCUACGGGAGGCAGCAGUGGGGAAUAUUGGGCAAUGGGCGAAAGCCUGACCCAGCAACGCCGCGUGAGGGAAGAAGGGUUUCGGCUCGUAAACCUCUGUCCUAUGGGACGAAGAAGGUGACGGUACCAUAGGAGGAAGCCCCGGCUAACUACGUGCCAGCAGCCGCGGUAAUGCGUAGGGGGCGAGCGUUGUCCGGAAUGAUU